CCCGUCCUGGGGCCCCGCCCACCCGCGGCGGCAGCUGGGCAGCCUCCCAGAGCAGGACCGGUCCCCCGCGGCCGCUUCCAGACCGUCCGCAUCCUACGCCGGCGUCGGUCUCCGGGCUUGCGCGGGCCGAACACAUCCUUGGGACAGCUUUGCCUAGCCCCAGCCAGGAAGAACAUCUGUAAUGAGAGGAUCCUGAAUUUGCUCAAGCAAGUCAGACUCUUUAUAAACCAUACCUAGACGUCAGAACUGGGAUGGAAGAUCUGGCACCUGUGGAAGGCCAGAGCCAGCUACCAAGCCCACACCAUGGCUCCCUGAGAAGGGCUGUGGCUGCUGCCCUGGCUCUAGAUGGGGAAUCCACAAUGGGUCGCAGGAAAAAGAAGAAGAAAGAUCCUCGCCCUGAAUCAAUCAUCAUCUACCGGUCAGAGAAUGAGAAAAUGGAUGACGAGCCUGAGGAGUUGGAGGGUGGAGAUCAACCUAAAGAGGAGGAGGGAGACGAUUUCCUAGACUAUCCCAUGGAUGACAGUAUGUGGGACAUGCCUUCAGACAGUCGCUAUGUCACAUUAACUGGGACCAUCACCCGAGGCAAGAAAAAAGGUCAUGUGGUGGACAUCCAUGUCACACUGACAGAGAAGGAACUGCAAGAACUCACCAAGCCUCAGGAGUCAACCAGGGAAACAGAAUCUGAAGGAAGAAAUGCCUGCCAGAUGGGAGCAGACCGUGGGCCUCACGUGGUUCUUUGGACACUGGUCUGCCUGCCUGUGGUUUUCAUCCUCUCUUUUGUGGUCUCUUUCUACUAUGGCACUAUCACCUGGUACAACAUCUUCCUUGUAUACAACGAGGAGAGGACCUUCUGGCACAAGAUCUCAUGUUGUCCCUGCCUCAUUCUCUUCUACCCUGUGCUUAUCAUGGCCAUGGCUUCUUCCCUGGGCAUCUAUGCUGCUGUGGUCCAACUCUCAUGGUCAUGGGGAGCAUGGUGGCAAGCUGCCCGGGAUAUGGAGAAGGGAUUCUGUGGCUGGCUCUGCAGCAAGUUGGGACUAGAGGACUGUUCUCCCUACAGUAUUGUAGAGUUGCUUGAAUCUGACAAUAUCUCAGGCACCCUUUCCAACAAGGACUCCACGCAGGAAGUAGAAACCUCCAUGGUUUAAACUCCUGAUAAUUUCCUUUCUUCUCUGGUAGAUAGAUCUGGUAGCCUAUAUAAUAUCUUAGAAUUCCAGCAGAUUCUUUAUUUCUUUUUUUUUUUUUUGGAAGAUUUAUUUUAUUUAUUUGAAAGACAGAGUUACGAGAAAGGUAGAGACAGACAGAGAGGUCUUCAGUCUGCUAGUUCACUCCCCAGAUGGCUGUAAUGGUUGGAGCUGUGCCGAUCUGAAGCCAGGAGCCAGGAGCUUCUUCUGGGUCUCCCUUGUGGGUGCAGGGGCCCAAGGACUUGGGCCAUCCUCUACUGCUAUCCCAGGCCAUAGCAGAGAGCAGGAUCAGAAAAGGAGCAGCCGGGACUAGAACCAGUGCCCAUAUGGGAUGCAGGCGCUUCAGGCCAGGUCUUUAACCUGCUGCACCACAGCGCCGGCCCCCAGAUUCUUUCUUUAAAUUAUCCCCUGUCUCCCACAGUUCUUUGGGAACAUCCUAGUCCACAUUGAUCUGUCUACCAUCUUGAUAGAGGGCAGAGAAUCGGGCAAUUUGUGCCAAAGUUUUCCACCCAGUGGACAAAGCCUACUUGACUCCUCCUCUAAAAUGAUCAUUUUUAUGGGACAAGGAACUCCACUGUGUAUCAGUUUAGGCGCUUGAAGGUACAACUGGUGUCUGAAAUCCAUGAGAGUUUGUUACUAAAUGUGACAGGGAGGAUAAGGAGUCUCAAGGAUGAGCAAAGCCACUAGAAAACAGGGACAGAGUGAAACAUUUAGAAAGCCAGGCUACCGCAGUAGCUUGUAGUAACAAUAAAGGUUUGUGCACAUCACUUUGAGUUAGAUUUAGCUCCAUAUAAUUAAAACCCUAAAAUAUCAAUGGUUUAAACAAGAUAGAAGCUUCUUGUAUAGAAGUCUAGAGGCAGACCAUCCCUGUGAAGUCAUCUAGGUCCUUGGUUUCUUCCAUUCCAUUUUCAAUAGUAGGAUGUGGGAGCCUCAUUACUCCUCAAUGUCCUGGUGCUGACUACAAAACUUCAACCAUCUUAUCCACACUUUGGCAAAACAGAGGUGGGGCAAAAAAGUGCACAUCUUCAUUUUUAAGGAAACUUCCUAGAAGUUCCACUGAACACUCCUUACAUCUCUUUGGCUAGACCUCAGUCACAUGACAUCAUAGGCAAAAGAGGCUGGGAAAUGCCAACUUUAGGCUGUGUAGCUACACUCUCAGCUAAGUAUUGAGGUGAUGCUAUUAAAAAAAAGGGAAGAGUGGCUAUUUUGAUAGUUAAGUAAGAAUUUCUGACAUAAUAAUUACUCAAAAACAUUCAGAAUCUCAAACUGCUGAUAUAAUUUAUUUAAUUUAUUUUUAUAUUUAUUUGUUGCUCUUUAGUUCACUCAUUCAUUUAUUUUGGCCUGAAUAGUAUGUAAGGAAUUUAUAUGUAAGUAUCUGCUGCCUAUACUAGAUAUGUAUGUGCUAUACACACAUAUUAGCACCUCAUGUGCUUUGCAAUUAAACUGCCAUAAUGUCAUCAUGCUCAAGUUUUGUAAGAAAUAGUGGACAAGAGAGUACAAUUGCAUAAUAGCAGAAUAACCCUUUUUACUGGUGGUAGAGGUGGAACAGAUAUGGUGACUUUUUAAUCUAAUCUAUAAAGACUGAAAGGAAAGGAUUGCAUUUGUUAAGUGUUCCCUAAGGGUGACAGGUAGCUCUAAGCAUGAAGAAGCCAGUGUUAGACCUCUGUUAUUUGGCAAGACCUCACUCAGAGCCUUAAUCACUCAGACCUUUCCAGAGUUUGGAAACAAAGAGGGUCUUUUCUGUGCUUAGAAGAUUAAUCCAGAUGACUAGAUUCUGAGUUAAAAGAAAAUCAUUCUUGACGUUAUCUUUCUAGAUUCAAAAUGUUGAAUCCCAAGAAGUCAUCAGAUUUUGGAGAUUUGGGUCCUCAUCCAAAAAAAGCUGGUGCUCAUUUCUUGUUCUUAUUUCAGAAAGAAGUACUUGGAAGAACUGCUGUGAACCAACCCAGAGGGGUUGAUCAUGCUCCCCACAGAGAGUCAUGGGCAUUUUCCUAAUGGAUGGUGCUGAACCCCACCUUCAGAAUAACUCUCUUUAAAAAUAGCUAUUAUUAGUUUGACAAGAGAAGAGGUGCUCCAAAAUUGCUCUGAAUGUCAUCAUUUGCAGAAAUAAAGGUGAGCAUAAUAGGUGUCUUCUAUAUCUUUAUGUAAUGAACUUAGUAUGUAUCCAUAAAUAUUGACUUCUUCCAUGCACUAAUAAUUUAUGGGUUGUCUAUUUAGGCGGAUAUUUCUUCCAAUCUCCUUUUUAUUUAAACCCACAUUACAAAAUUGUUACCAACGGUGUCACAAUUUUCUGGGGUUGAGGAGACCGAUGGUCAAGGCCCAAAAUAAUGUGAUUAGGACAAGAGCAAGGUGCCCAUAGUGGAAUGGAGGAGCAGAAGUGAGUGUGAGAUUAUGGCCAAGGGAUACAAAGACAACAAACACUGUCAUGGCCUUAACCCUGGUUGGGCUCAUCACCUAGUGGAGGAAAUAGGCUUGCAAAUAAAAAUCAUUUAAAAGGUGCCCUAAAGAGGUAAAUGCCCAUGCCGGAGGCAGGACAACCGAUCCACAAAAGAACUAAAGCCAUCUCAUCCUUGCUGUCAGUAAUGCCUAGACAAUUUUGGAGAAGAAAUUGGAGUUAGAUACCUUAUUUACCACAUUUGCUCAAUUCUGUUAACUCCUAUUUACCCAGUCUCCAUGGUGACUGUCAAGGAAGAGGACUGUAUUUCCCAAUUACUUAGCAACUGUAGUAUUCUGAUGGGGAUAAACCAUGUCUGACCUGAUAUGGUUACACUGUUAUUUCCAAGUCAUCUGUCAGUUCACAUUAGGCAGCAUGUCCUGUUCAUGUCCAUGAUUAGCAAGACCCACGGUUUUCUUUUCUUUUCUUUUCUUUUCUUUUUUAAGAUUUAAUUAUUUGAAAGACAGAGUUACAGAGAGAGAUAGAAACAGAGAGAGGUCUUCCAUCCACUGGUUCACUCCCCAGAUGGCUGCAACGGCCCGAGCUGUGCCAAUCCGCAGCCAGGAUCCAGGAGCUUCUUCCAUGUCUCCCACAUGGGUGCAGGGGCCCCAAGGACUUGGGCCAUCUUCCACUGCUUUCCCAGGCCAUAGCAGAGAGCUGGAUCGAAAGAGGAACAGCCAGGACUAGAACCAGCAUCCAUACGAGACCCAUGAUUUUCUACAAAACAAGACUAAAUGUUCAAAGAACUACUUUCAGAUGAUUUGAAAGUUUCAUUGUGUCAGUUUGGAAUGGCUAUGCAGGGCUUACUUUUUGCAGUGUUGAAAAAAGACUCGUGGCCAACAUGAAAAGGUUUCUUUUCUUCAACUCAACAUAAGCCUUUUAUGUGGAUUUUAAAAAAUAGUUUUUGAUGGAAAUAGAACAUUGUACAUCACCAUGUACAACUAUUUGGGAUAUAAGCUUUUAUUAUUUCAUAUCUGUAUCCUAUGGGUAUAAGUGUUCAUUUCAUAUCUGUACACUACAUUUUAACUAAUUUUCCCAACUUGUUAUCUAACUAUUGCUGCAGUUCUCAGUCUGAACACAAAGCCUGCACAUUUUUAUUUUGUAUAAUAAAGUCAUCAUUCACAUA
This is a non-coding RNA of Oryctolagus cuniculus (rabbit), 4738 nucleotides long. The record is from RefSeq and is a predicted model, not a curated record. NCBI's taxonomy places the organism in Eukaryota, Metazoa, Chordata, Mammalia, Lagomorpha, Leporidae.